UGCCCCGGCAGUGGGCAAAGAGAUAUCUUGGUGGUGGUGGUGUUCUUAAAUCAGUCGGGGGCAGAACAGAUAGUUGUCCUUUGUUCAUCCUAGCUUGAUGCCUGGCUCAGUGGCCAAAGCUGUUCAUUCCUAGGGCACAGUC
Nannospalax galili (Upper Galilee mountains blind mole rat) is the source of this 142-nucleotide small nucleolar RNA. The record is from Ensembl. Lineage: Eukaryota; Metazoa; Chordata; Mammalia; Rodentia; Spalacidae.